GUAGGUGGCAAGCGUUGUCCGGAUUUAUGGGUUUAAAGGGUGCGUAGGCGGCCCUGUAAGUCAGUGCUGAAAUAUCCCGGCUUAACCGGGAGGGUGGCAUUGAUACUGCAGGGCUUGAGUAAAGUUGAGGUUGGCGGAAUUGACGGUGUAGCGGUGAAAUGCUUAGAUAUCGUCAAGAACACCGAUAGUGAAGACAGCUAACUAAGCUUUAACUGACGCUGAGGCACGAAAGUGUGGGGAGUCAAACAGGAUUAGAUACCCUGGUAGUCCACACUGUAAACGUUGAUUACUCGAUGUUGGCGAUACUCAGUCAGCGUCUUAGCGCAAGCGAUAAGUAAUCCACCUGGGGAGUACGCCGGCAACGGUGA
RNAcentral lists this ribosomal RNA (368 nucleotides) under uncultured organism. RNAcentral describes it as "bacterial SSU rRNA". It matches the Rfam family "Bacterial small subunit ribosomal RNA", at positions 527 to 897 of the family's 1533-position model. The record is from RNAcentral.